AACUUGAGACCGGCGCACGGGUGCGUAACGCGUAUGCAAUCUACCUUAUACAGGGGAAUAGCCCAGAGAAAUUUGGAUUAAUGCCCCAUAGUGUUAUAGAAUCGCAUGGUUUUAUAACUAAAGUUCCAACGGUAUAAGAUGAGCAUGCGUCCCAUUAGUUAGUUGGUAAGGUAACGGCUUACCAAGACAAUGAUGGGUAGGGGUCCUGAGAGGGAGAUCCCCCACACUGGUACUGAGACACGGACCAGACUCCUACGGGAGGCAGCAGUGAGGAAUAUUGGUCAAUGGGCGCAAGCCUGAACCAGCCAUGCCGCGUGCAGGAAGACGGUCCUAUGGAUUGUAAACUGCUUUUAUACAGGAAGAAACCUCCCUACGUGUAGGGACUUGACGGUACUGUAGGAAUAAGGAUCGGCUAACUCCGUGCCAGCAGCCGCGGUAAUACGGAGGAUCCAAGCGUUAUCCGGAAUCAUUGGGUUUAAAGGGUCCGUAGGCGGCCUUAUAAGUCAGUGGUGAAAUCUCCUAGCUCAACUAGGAAACUGCCAUUGAUACUGUAGGGCUUGAAUUUUUGUGAAGUAACUAGAAUAUGUAGUGUAGCGGUGAAAUGCUUAGAUAUUACAUGGAAUACCAAUUGCGAAGGCAGGUUACUAACAAACGAUUGACGCUGAUGGACGAAAGCGUGGGGAGCGAACAGGAUUAGAUA
RNAcentral lists this ribosomal RNA (700 nucleotides) under uncultured Bacteroidota bacterium. RNAcentral describes it as "bacterial SSU rRNA". It matches the Rfam family "Bacterial small subunit ribosomal RNA", at positions 86 to 784 of the family's 1533-position model. Lineage: Bacteria; Pseudomonadati; Bacteroidota. The record is from RNAcentral.